AAAGAUUUAUUGCCCAAGGAGUGGUUUAUGUCCUAUCAGCUUGUUGGUAAGGUAAUGGCUUACCAAGGCAAUGACGGGUAGCUGGUUUGAGAGGAUGGUCAGCCACAUCGGAACUGAGACACUGUCCGGACUCCUACGGGAGGCUGCAGUCGAGAAUAUUUUCCAAUGCCCGAAAGGGUGAGAAUGCGACGCCGCGUGGAGGAUGAAGGCUUUCGGGUUGUAAACUCCUUUUAUAGAAGAAGAACACAAUGACAUUAUUCUAUGAAUAAGUCACGGCUAACUCCGUGCCAGCAGCCGCGGUAAUACGGAGGUGGCAAGCGUUACUCGGAUUUACUGGGUGUAAAGGGUCAGUAGGCGAGCAGGUAAGUAGAAGGUGAAAGCUCUUUGCUUAACAAAGAAAUUGCCUUUUAAACUACUUGUUUAGAGGACAGCAGGGGAAAGUGGAAUUGCUAGUGUAGAGGUGAAAUUCGUGGAUAUUGGCAAGAACACUCAUGGCGAAGGCAACUUUCUGGGCUGUUCCUGACGCUGAGUGACGAAAGCUAGGGUAGCAAAUAGGAUUAGAUACCCUAGUAGUCCUAGCUGUAAACGAUGAGCACUAGGUAUGUUGAUUUAUCAGCGUACCGUAGUUAACGCGUUAAGUGCUCCACCUGGAGACUACGGUCGCAAGGCUAAAACUCAAAGGAAUUGACGGGGACCCGCACAAGCGGUGGAACAUGUGGCUUAAUUCGAUGAUACGCGAGGAACCUUACCAGGGCUUGACAUGUGCCAAGUAGGAUUUCUGAAAAGUUUUCCCACCUGUAUCCAAUCAGGAAGGUACACAGGUGCUGCAUGGUUGUCGUCAGCUCGUGCUGUGAAGUGUUCCGUUAAGUCGGGUAACGAGCGCAACCCUCGCCCUUAGUUGCAACCAUUUCUUUUAGAAAUAGGGCACUCUAAGGGGACUGCUUAUGUUAAAUAAGAGGAAGGUGAGGAUGACGUCAAAUCAGCAUGGUCCUUAUGUCCUGGGCUACACACGUGUUACAAUGGUAUGCACAAAGGGAUGCCAAGUCGUGAGAUGGAGCAAAUCCUUUAAAACAUACCUAAGUUCGGAUUGUAGGCUGCAACUCGCCUACAUGAAGUUG
This 1118-nucleotide ribosomal RNA is filed under the name uncultured organism. Its description in RNAcentral is "bacterial SSU rRNA". It matches the Rfam family "Bacterial small subunit ribosomal RNA", at positions 202 to 1328 of the family's 1533-position model. The record is from RNAcentral.